AAUCUACCUUCGAAUUGGGGAUAACGUUGCGAAAGCGACGCUAAUACCGAAUAACAUCCAUUAAUCUUCGGGUUUUUUGGAUCAAGGGUGGCCUCUACAUGUAAGCUACUGUUUGAAGAUGAGCCCGCGUACCAUUAGCUUGUUGGUGGGGUAAUGGCCUACCAAGGCAGCGAUGGUUAGCUGGUCUGAGAGGAUGAUCAGCCACACUGGAACUGACACACGGUCCAG
This 228-nucleotide ribosomal RNA is filed under the name uncultured bacterium. RNAcentral describes it as "partial 16S ribosomal RNA". It matches the Rfam family "Bacterial small subunit ribosomal RNA", at positions 123 to 334 of the family's 1533-position model. The record is from RNAcentral.